AUUGAACGCUGGCGGCAUGCUUUACACAUGCCAGUCGAACGGCAGCGCGGGCUUCGGCCUGGCGGCGAGUGGCGAACGGGUGAGUAAUGCAUCGGAACGUGCCCAGUAGUGGGGGAUAGCCCGGCGAAAGCCGGAUUAAUACCGCAUACGACCUGAGGGUGAAAGCGGGGGACCGAAAGGCCUCGCGCUAUUUGAGCGGCCGAUGUCGGAUUAGCUAGUUGGUGGGGUAAAGGCUUACCAAGGCGACGAUCCGUAGCUGGUCUGAGAGGACGACCAGCCACACUGGGACUGAGACACGGCCCAGACUCCUACGGGAGGCAGCAGUGGGGAAUUUUGGACAAUGGGGGCAACCCUGAUCCAGCCAUGCCGCGUGCGGGAAGAAGGCCUUCGGGUUGUAAACCGCUUUUGUUCGGGAAGAAAUCCUCUGGGCUAAUACCCCGGGGGGAUGACGGUACCGGAAGAAUAAGCACCGGCUAACUACGUG
This 484-nucleotide ribosomal RNA is filed under the name uncultured bacterium. Its description in RNAcentral is "partial 16S ribosomal RNA". It matches the Rfam family "Bacterial small subunit ribosomal RNA", at positions 28 to 507 of the family's 1533-position model. The record is from RNAcentral.